UACGUAGGGAGCGAGCGUUGUUCGGAGUUACUGGGCGUAAAGGGUGUGUAGGCGGUUGUUUAAGUUUGGUGUGAAAUCUCCCGGCUCAACUGGGAGGGUGCGCCGAAUACUGAGCGACUAGAGUGCGGGAGAGGAAAGUGGAAUUCCUGGUGUAGCGGUGAAAUGCGUAGAUAUCAGGAGGAACACCGGUGGCGAAGGCGGCUCUCUGGACCUGUCCUGACGCUCAGGCGCGAAAGCUAGGGGAGCAAACAGG
Molecule: ribosomal RNA, 253 nt
Filed under: uncultured bacterium
Lineage: Bacteria
Description: partial 16S ribosomal RNA
Rfam family: Bacterial small subunit ribosomal RNA
Source: RNAcentral